UACGGAGGUGGCGAGCGUUGUCCGAAGUUACUGGGCGUAAAGCGCGCGUAGGCGGGUAGGUAAGUGAGGGGUGAAAUCCUGGAGCUCAACUCCAGAACUGCCUUUGAUACUGGCGAUCUCGAGUCCGGGAGAGGUGAGUGGAACUGCGAGUGUAGAGGUGAAAUUCGUAGAUAUUCGCAAGAACACCAGUGGCGAAGGCGGCUCACUGGCCCGGUACUGACGCUGAGGUGCGAAAGCGUGGGGAGCAAACAGG
This 253-nucleotide ribosomal RNA is filed under the name uncultured bacterium. RNAcentral's name for it is "partial 16S ribosomal RNA". It matches the Rfam family "Bacterial small subunit ribosomal RNA", at positions 524 to 776 of the family's 1533-position model. The record is from RNAcentral.